Small nuclear RNA from Rhincodon typus (whale shark), 102 nucleotides. The record is from RefSeq and is a predicted model, not a curated record. Lineage: Eukaryota; Metazoa; Chordata; Chondrichthyes; Orectolobiformes; Rhincodontidae.
ACUUAGUUUGUAGGAAGUUUGUGGUCAAGUCGGAACAAUACAGAGAAGAUUAACACUGCCCCACAGAGUGACUUGCAGAUUUGUGAAAUAUUCAAGAAACAU